RNAcentral lists this transfer RNA (70 nucleotides) under Potamometra berezowskii. RNAcentral's name for it is "tRNA-Ser". It matches the Rfam family "tRNA". Rfam says of the family: Transfer RNA (tRNA) molecules are approximately 80 nucleotides in length. Their secondary structure includes four short double-helical elements and three loops (D, anti-codon, and T loops). The record is from RNAcentral. Lineage: Eukaryota; Metazoa; Arthropoda; Insecta; Hemiptera; Gerridae. RNAcentral also lists the same sequence under 3 other names.
AGUUGACUAAGCUUUAGAAAAGCGUAUAUUUUGAAAAUAUAAAAUAGAUGUUAAAUUCAUCUAUCAACUU